Cucurbita moschata (crookneck pumpkin) is the source of this 274-nucleotide long non-coding RNA. RefSeq lists it as uncharacterized. The record is from RefSeq and is a predicted model, not a curated record. The transcript is spliced from 3 exons. Lineage: Eukaryota; Viridiplantae; Streptophyta; Magnoliopsida; Cucurbitales; Cucurbitaceae.
UGAGGAUGGGGAGACGAUUGUGAAGGCUUUUCAGCCAUUGAAGCUCUGAACUAAGCUGAUUUAAGCGGUUGUCGCAAAGAAAACGCAAGGAAGAAGAAGAAGCGCGUGCACUACACGCAGGCGUGUGAGGGCCGCGACUGGGUGUGCGACUGGGCGUGCUCCUGGCGCGUGGGACAGACACACCGAGGAUGAGAGGGCGCGUGAGGGCGCGUGAAGCAUCAUUUUGGGUUCCCGGUCUAAUUGGAAGGAAUUGUGUUGAAAUACCCUAUUAAAU